This 371-nucleotide unclassified non-coding RNA is filed under the name uncultured Solicoccozyma. RNAcentral describes it as "sequence contains ITS2". The stretch from base 1 to 52 matches the Rfam family "5.8S ribosomal RNA", at positions 103 to 154 of the family's 154-position model. The record is from RNAcentral. Lineage: Eukaryota; Fungi; Basidiomycota; Tremellomycetes; Filobasidiales; Piskurozymaceae.
AACGCACCUUGCGCUCUUUGGUAUUCCGAAGAGCAUGCCUGUUUGAGUGUCAUGAAAAUAUCAACCUUGACUUGGGUUUUGUGCUCUAGUCUCGGCUUGGAAUUGGGUGCUUGCCGCUUUUACGAGCGGCUCACCUUAAAUGUAUUAGCUGGAUCUGAGCCGCUUUUACGAGCGGCUCACCUUAAAUGUAUUAGCUGGAUCUGUCUUUGAGACUUGGUUUGACUUGGCGUAAUAAGUAUUUCGCUAAGGACAUUCUUCGGAGUGGCCUCGUUUCUAGGACGCUUGUCCGCUUUCCAAUACAAGUUCCACCUCGUGGACAUGACUUUUUAUUAUCUGGCCUCAAAUCAGGUAGGACUACCCGCUGAACUUAA